AGAUCAAUUUGUCGGUCGUGCCUCGGUACGUACUGGCAUUAUUGAUUUCUCCCUUCUGAAGAACCGCGAUGUCAUUAAUUUGGUGUCGUGGGGAAUCAGGACUGUUACUUUGAAAAAUUAGAGUGUUUAAAGCAGGCGCACGCUUGAAUACAUUAGCAUGGAAUAAUGAAAUAGGACGUUUGAUUCUAUUUUGUUGGUUUCUAGGAUCGACGUAAUGAUUAA
This 222-nucleotide ribosomal RNA is filed under the name uncultured Glomeromycotina. RNAcentral's name for it is "partial 18S ribosomal RNA". The stretch from base 38 to 222 matches the Rfam family "Eukaryotic small subunit ribosomal RNA", at positions 685 to 872 of the family's 1831-position model. The record is from RNAcentral. Lineage: Eukaryota; Fungi; Glomeromycota.